Molecule: non-coding RNA, 658 nt
Filed under: Pongo abelii (Sumatran orangutan)
Lineage: Eukaryota; Metazoa; Chordata; Mammalia; Primates; Hominidae
Source: RNAcentral
AUGGGCACUUAGCUUGCUUGAGAUUACACAGAACCAUGCCUCUGGUUUCCUGGUACAGUGCUCCUGUAGGUGACGGAUGCUCCCGGGUGACAUAUCAUGAAUCUCUCUGAGGCAAGAUGGCUGACUAGGAACAGCUCCAGUCGGCAGCUCCCAGCGAGACCAACACAGAAGGCCGUCAUCCUUAAGCCAUAAAAUGCCCUGUAUAGGUGGAACAGGUCAGAAGACUGAAUGCUCAAGCUGCAUGUGGAGUUAACAUGGCAAUAACACAGAAUGUGAUGACAGCAGACUCUAGAAUCUCAUGACAUCAGUUUAUAUUAGAACUGUUCUGUAGCUCACCUUUCUCCGAAGUUGGAAUUCACAUGGCUGUGGAAUGUGUUUCUACCUUCACUGUUCGAGGAGUCAUCCAACAAAUCCAGGGGUGGGAAAACAGCUGGAUGAGGACAAUAACAUAUAUGACACCUGUAUAAUCCUCUACCUUGGACCAUCUCUCUCACCAGCUGCCUUCCACACCCCUGUCCUACUAACUCCUUCUUUCACUUGAACAUUCUUUACCCCAGAUUUUUGCAUCCUUCAGUGACAUGGAAAAGCAACUGUUAAGAGACUUUGGCCUAAAGAUACAUUGAGAAGGGAAAAAAAGUUUAAUAAGUGGCAAAUGUCA